CGGGAUUAGAGUUUGAUCAUGGCUCAGAACGAACGCUGGCGGCAUGCCUAACACAUGCAAGUCGAACGCUAUCUUGUAUAGAGUGGCGCACGGGUGAGUAACGCGUGGGAACCUACCUUUCUCUGCGGGACAACGGCUGGAAACGGCCGCUAAUACCGCAUACGCCCUACGGGGGAAAGGUCAGCCGGAGAAAGAGGGGCCCGCGUUAGAUUAGCUAGUUGGUGGGGUAAUGGCCUACCAAGGCGACGAUCUAUAGCUGGUCUGAGAGGAUGAUCAGCCACACUGGGACUGAGACACGGCCCAGACUCCUACGGGAGGCAGCAGUGGGGAAUAUUGGACAAUGGGGGCAACCCUGAUCCAGCAAUGCCGCGUGUGUGAUGAAGGCCCUAGGGUUGUAAAGCACUUUCACUGGUGAAGAUGAUGACGGUAACCAGAGAAGAAGCCCCGGCUAACUUC
This 456-nucleotide ribosomal RNA is filed under the name uncultured bacterium. Its description in RNAcentral is "bacterial SSU rRNA". It matches the Rfam family "Bacterial small subunit ribosomal RNA", at positions 1 to 504 of the family's 1533-position model. The record is from RNAcentral.